Molecule: long non-coding RNA, 210 nt
Filed under: Eucalyptus grandis
Lineage: Eukaryota; Viridiplantae; Streptophyta; Magnoliopsida; Myrtales; Myrtaceae
Description: long non-coding RNA (EGRA_LNC002682)
Source: RNAcentral
CCGGCACUCCAUGCUGACGAAUUAUCUGAUGCACACACACUUCAGUAUACCCACUCUGAUAAGAUAGAAUCUUCAAUUUCUGAAAUCGAACUUAGAUUGGCGGUUAAUUUCAUUCCGACACGCUUUUAGUGUGACCUAGGCUACUGGGUAGUGUUCAGAGCUUUUUAGGACAAAUGACCCGUGGUCGAUUUUCUUCGAGCCACAAUAAAC